CAACUCCCCCCUUGGAGCUGGGUGCCCAGUGGUAGGGCUGGUGCCUGAACACGUGGAGGAAUGACCCGAUGUUCCCCAAGCUCUCCCCUGGACUGGCACAAGGAGCCCCAGCCUGCAGGCCAUGUGGGCAGCAGUCAGGUGGACACAGCGGAGCCCCAGCCCAGGCCCUGACUCCAGUGCCCAUCACACACCUGCUGCGGGGACCCCUUCCUAGGCCACCCCGCGGGGCCCUUCCUCUGGACCCAAUGGGGCCUCCUCCUCCUCCACCUGCAAGGGUCAGGGCUGCCUGGGCAAAGACGAAGAAGGAGGACUGGAGGAGGAAGAGGCCAAGUGCUAGUCCAUCUGGUGUGUGUCCCUCAUCACUAUCCCCCAGUUCCCGACUCUGCAGCCAGAGGCCUCCCUGACCCGUCAUCGGAGCCUGGGCUCUGCCUGCAAAAGGGUUCAGCGUUCAGCGGCCACCGGUGUCAGCACAAAAUAAACUCGGAGCCAGGCCCACUGGAGUCCAGCGCGUGUCUGUGCCAGGACUGGCCUGACACUACUCCGGUGCAGGAGCGCGCCAGUGGCUUCACCUCCCUGAGCCUCAGCUUCCUCCGUGUAAAGCAGAAUCAACGCAUCUAGCAAAGCUCGCUGAACAGGGAUAGAGGCCCUGGUGCCUGUGGAGGCCUCCACACAACCCCCCAUGUGUCCUGACCUCACUCCGCGCCGGUGUGCUCUCCGCACAUCUGUGCUUCUGCACCUGCACGUGUGACAAUCACUCAUUCCUGGCUCCCACACCCACCUCCCUCAGCCUCCACGUGGAUGUCCCCACAUCGUGCUAUGUGGAUGAUAGAGGUUGGGGGUCCUGGGGACCAGAACCUCAUCAUCAGUCUCUUAAGUCUCCCUAGCCUUGGGUCCUCAGGGCUUGGUGCACACAUCACGGUUUAUAUCCAGGUGUCCCUCCGAUGCCGCCUGCAUACUAGCAUGGAUGUGGAACGCGUGUUACUGGAUUGGUCCGCACAUGGGUUUGUAGCUGAGUGUGACGUUGGGAGGUGAAAGCUGAUUGGAAGAAGUGCUCACUGGGGGCGUGGCCUGAAAGGGCUUGGCUACCUCCUCCUCCCUUGAUCUCUCUCUGCUUCCUGCCUGCCACGCCAAGAGCUGUUUCUCUUCUGUGAUGCCUCCUCUGCCCUGCUACCCUGCUUGGGAGCCAACCAACUGUGGACUGAAGCCUCUACCAUCUCUAAGCCAAAAUAAACCUUUGCUCCUUUAAUUUGUGGGUGCUGGGUCUUUUGUCCCAGCAGCGAGAAAGUUACUGACGCCCCACAUCUUGUACACAAGACCCUUACCCUGCUGUACAGC
Long non-coding RNA from Cavia porcellus (domestic guinea pig), 1335 nucleotides. RefSeq lists it as uncharacterized. Lineage: Eukaryota; Metazoa; Chordata; Mammalia; Rodentia; Caviidae. The transcript is spliced from 4 exons. The record is from RefSeq and is a predicted model, not a curated record.